This 600-nucleotide ribosomal RNA is filed under the name uncultured bacterium. RNAcentral describes it as "bacterial SSU rRNA". It matches the Rfam family "Bacterial small subunit ribosomal RNA", at positions 338 to 1415 of the family's 1533-position model. The record is from RNAcentral.
CCUACGGGAGGCAGCAGUGGGGAAUAUUGGACAAUGGGCGAAAGCCUGAUCCAGCAAUGCCGCGUGAGUGAUGAAGGCCUUAGGGUUGUAAAGCUCUUUUACCAGGGAUGAUAAUGACAGUACCUGGAGAAUAAGCUCCGGCUAACUCCGUGCCAGCAGCCGCGGUAAUACGGAGGGAGCUAGCGUUGUUCGGAAUUACUGGGCGUAAAGCGUGCGUAGGCGGUGAUUCAAGUCAGAGGUGAAAGCCUGGAGCUCAACUCCAGAACGGCCUUUGAAACUAGAUCGCUAGAAUUAUGGAGAGGUAAGUGGAAUUCCGAGUGUAGAGGUGAAAUUCGUAGAUAUUCGGAAGAACACCAGUGGCGAAGGCGACUUACUGGACAUAUAUUGACGCUGAGGUACGAAAGCGUGGGGAGCAAACAGGAUUAGAUACCCUGGUAGUCCACGCCGUAAACGAUGAUAACUAGCUGUUCGGGCUCUCAGAGCUUGAGUGGCGCAGCUAACGCAUUAAGUUAUCCGCCUGGGGAGUACGGUCGCAAGAUUAAAACUCGAAAAGUAGUAGUAGACGNGUAGAGUAGCGACGAGGACACGACGGAGGUUAGG